This 123-nucleotide small nucleolar RNA is filed under the name Ochotona princeps (American pika). RNAcentral's name for it is "Small nucleolar RNA SNORA74 (ENSOPRG00000023260.1)". The record is from RNAcentral. Lineage: Eukaryota; Metazoa; Chordata; Mammalia; Lagomorpha; Ochotonidae.
CCCAGCUGUAGGCAGCUGCCUAGGUUGCCUUGUUCCUAGGCAAGUAUUACACUGCUGGGAGAAAAACAACGCAUAGCUGGUGGGCAUUCUGGGCCUUGUUAAUGCCACAUUUGUGUUAACUAU